GAGAUCUUCUCCAAAAUUCUUGUUAUCACUCGAACCAUUCAAUUCACCAACCUCUUCUUCCUUGUGUACUUUUCCAUGUGAACUUCCUUCAUCCUUCAAUAUUGAAUUAGCAUGAUAAUUAAGCCCGCCAUUGGUUGAUGCAGAGGUAUCUGGUUCUCUCCAUCUAUUCUCAGAAUCCUGUUUGUCUUUGUUCUCUACCGAUCUAG
This 206-nucleotide unclassified non-coding RNA is filed under the name Hevea brasiliensis (rubber tree). The record is from RNAcentral. Lineage: Eukaryota; Viridiplantae; Streptophyta; Magnoliopsida; Malpighiales; Euphorbiaceae.